Long non-coding RNA from Dromaius novaehollandiae (emu), 1497 nucleotides. RefSeq lists it as uncharacterized. The record is from RefSeq and is a predicted model, not a curated record. The transcript has 4 exons. Lineage: Eukaryota; Metazoa; Chordata; Aves; Casuariiformes; Dromaiidae.
GCGCCGAGGGUAGCAAUCGGGCGCGCGGGAGGGGCGGGGCGCAGGGUGGCGGCGGCUGUGGCCUCGCCUCGCCUCAUGGCGCAGCAGUGCCGUGUGGCGCCGCUCUCCCGUCGGCCGCGGGCUGAGCGAACACGCAGGCGGCUGUCAGCGGCUGUCGUGCGGCCGCCACGCUGGUGCCCAGCUCUCCUCAGCCGCCGGUGGCCGCGGCAGCCUUCCCGCGCUUGGGCCGCCCCGGCCGCGCGGGGGAGCUGCUUCUCGCUGGUGCCGCGGCCGCCCUGCCCCAGUCCGGGUGCCGCGGCCGCGCUCUGCGGGCCCCGCACCGAGCAGGGGCCCCUCGCCGCCCGGCAGCGUGCGCCGCGGCCCUCCGGCUGGGGCUGCCGCUUCCCUGCCGCGGUGCCCAGGCUCGUAAGCCGCGGGCAGUGUAGUUUCUCCAGAGGGGUGGUCGCAGCUGCAGCAGCGGUGACGCUCUGAGGAGAAAGCGGGGAAAUCACCUCUUUUUGAGAGGAGCUGGCGCAGCCGCUGCGCAGGGAGGCCGCCUCGGGCCGGGCCGGGCCUGCGGCUUCCAGGCCGAGUUUCCCCGAGGACACAGUGCGGAGCCUGUGCGCUCUGCAGGGCGAGCUGCUCCUAGACUGGGGAAAGAGGGUUACCCUGGUACGUCCGUUUUCCUCUGUCCUCGUAGCUUACUGCCAUUCUCAUGCCCACUGAGUUGAGUUUGUUUGCACUGCACUGAUGCCUCCCGAAUUUACCCAAAAAAGCCCUCGAUUAUGCUGUCCACGUGUGCGAUCUUGACUGAUAUUUCCACAAGCUCCGAUCAGUCAUGACUCCGCAAGAAGUAACUUACCAUGCUACAGCCGCUUAUUCCAAGUUCGAGUCAGAGCUGGCCAUCGGGACUGCAGGAAAAAGAACGACGCGACGCUGCUUCCUCCACCUCAGUGGCGAGCCGCGGCCCCUCUGGAGCACAGCGGCGGGGAAAGCCGACAGCGGCUUACAGAAGAGAAUCUGCUUCAGAUGAUGUGGAACAGAGGACUCCUGUAAAGCUCUUGGCUUGGAAUCCUUCAGGAUAUAUGGGUUGCUCAAAUAUGACUUAAAGUUCUGCCUGUCUUCUAGAAGAGAGGGUUGCCAGAUUUGAAGAGGUGUUGCUGCUGAGCACAGGAAAGCAAAUCUCCUGAUGAAGAAGCAGUUUACAGAGCCUUCAAAUCCGAAAAAACUCUUCGUGAAGACCUAGAGACUCCUGAGACAAUGCCGGAUGAAAUGGAGGAGAUCUGCCUUGUGGUACUGUACAGCACAUGGAUUUUCAUUCUCAGUCUGCUGUAGGCUUCCUGUUUGAUCUUGAACUCCCAUUUCCCCACAAAGGUAAUCACUUCUCCAGAAGGAUAUCAGAAAGGUAUGAUAAUUUGCUUAUAAGGCUUUUCACAGUCUUGGGUGGGAGGUAUAAGGAAAAUGUGUUGUCUGUUUUGUAACAAAAGUAACCAUUAUUCACAGUCUUACAAAAUUUGA